GACGUAGGGCGCGAGCGUUGUCCGGAUUUACUGGGCGUAAAGAGCGCGCAGGCGGUCGAUCAAGUCGCGUGUGAAAGCCCCCGGCUCAACUGGGGAGGGUCACGCGAUACUGAUCGACUCGAAGGCAGGAGGGGGUAGUGGAAUUCCCGGUGUAGUGGUGAAAUGCGUAGAUAUCGGGAGGAACACCCAGGGGGAAACCAGUCGACUGGGCAUCUACUGACGCUGAGGUGCGAGAGCGUGGGGAGCGAACCGG
This 253-nucleotide ribosomal RNA is filed under the name uncultured bacterium. RNAcentral's name for it is "partial 16S ribosomal RNA". It matches the Rfam family "Bacterial small subunit ribosomal RNA", at positions 524 to 776 of the family's 1533-position model. The record is from RNAcentral.